UGAGGAAUAUUGGGCAAUGCCCGAAAGGGUGACCCAGCAACGCCGCGUGGAGGAUGAAGGUCGUAAGAUUGUAAACUCCUGUUAGAGGGGAAGAAUAACUAAGUUUGGAGCUUAGUAUGACUGUACCCUCAGAGAAAGCCCCGGCUAACUACGUGCCAGCAGCCGCGGUAAUACGUAGGGGGCAAGCGUUGUCCGGAUUUACUGGGUGUAAAGGGCGCGCAGGCGGAAUGGAAAGUCAGUGGUGAAAUCCUACAGCUUAACUGUAGAACUGUCUUUGAUACUUUCAUUCUUGAGUUCGGGAGAGAGAGACGGAAUUCCAGGUGUAGUGGUGAAAUACGUAGAUAUCUGGAAGAACACCAGUUGCGAAGGCGGUCUCUUGGUCCGAUACUGACGCUGAGGCGCGAAAGCGUGGGGAGCAAACA
This 422-nucleotide ribosomal RNA is filed under the name uncultured bacterium. RNAcentral's name for it is "bacterial SSU rRNA". It matches the Rfam family "Bacterial small subunit ribosomal RNA", at positions 355 to 774 of the family's 1533-position model. The record is from RNAcentral.